This 4402-nucleotide unclassified non-coding RNA is filed under the name Hevea brasiliensis (rubber tree). Lineage: Eukaryota; Viridiplantae; Streptophyta; Magnoliopsida; Malpighiales; Euphorbiaceae. The record is from RNAcentral.
GGAAAUAAAGAGGGCCUCUUGCUCUUGGAUGCUGUUCAUGUUCAACAACUUUGCCUUUUUAAGAUUCAUUAGACCUCUCUCUGUCUCCUUUUCUAGUAUGAGCUAUGAAAUGGUUAAGGAUUUUCUUGAUUAGAACCCAUUUCUUGGUUUAAUACAAUAACAUGGCUGCUGCUGUGAAAUUUGCCUUCUUCUCUUCUCUACUUCUUUUGAUUCUCACUUGUUCUCAAUCACUUUCUUCACAUAAUUUCUACCUCAAGAGGCAAGCUUCAAUCCUUGUUUCUAUUAAACAAUCUUUUGAAUCCUAUGAUCCUUUCCUCAUUUCCUGGAAUAUGUCAAACUACUUGCUUCUUUGCUCUUGGGCUGGCAUCCGUUGCGACGAUAUGAACAGAUCAGUAGUUUCUUUAGAUAUAUCAAAUUCCAACAUCUCUGGCUCUCUCUCACCUCUCAUCACUGAACUUCGAAGUCUUGUCAAUCUUUCUCUCACUGGAAACAGCAUCUCCGGCGAGUUCCCCCGAGAAAUUCACAAGCUUCCAAGGCUUCAAUUCCUGAACAUUUCUGAUAAUCAAUUCAGUGGAGAGCUGGACUGGGACUUCUCUCAGUUUAAAGAGCUGCAAGUGCUGGAUGUUUAUGAUAACAACUUCAAUGGUUCACUUCCACUUGGUGUCACUCAACUCGCCAAGCUGAAACACUUGGAUUUUGGCGGGAAUUACUUUACAGGAACUAUCCCUGCGAGCUAUGGAAGUAUGGUGCAGCUGAAUUAUCUUUCAGUCAAGGGAAACGAUUUGCGUGGUUUUAUACCUGGCGAGCUUAGUAAUCUUACUAAUCUUGAGCGGCUCUACUUGGGAUAUUUCAAUGAAUUUGAUGGUGGAAUCCCUCAUGAGUUGGGCAAAUUAAUCAAUCUGGUUCAUCUAGACCUUGCAAAUUGCAGCUUAGAGGGUCCGAUACCUCCAGAGUUGGGCAAUCUUAACAAAUUAGAUACCCUUUUCUUGCAAACAAAUGAGCUCUCUGGCUCGAUUCCUUGGGAGCUGGGCAAUUUGAGCAGCAUCAAAUCUCUGGAUCUUUCAAACAAUGUUCUAGCGGGAGAUAUACCACUUGAAUUUUCAGGGCUUCAAGAACUCACUCUACUGAACCUAUUCCUUAACAAGCUUCACGGAGAAAUCCCCCGUUUCGUCACAAAGCUACCAAAGUUGGAAGUCCUGAAGCUUUGGCGCAAUAAUUUCACAGGAGCUAUUCCUGAAAACCUUGGAGAAAACGGCAGAUUAAUUGAACUUGAUCUCUCAAGCAAUAAGCUUACUGGAUUAGUCCCCAGAUCACUCUGCUUAGGAAGGAACCUGCAGAUUCUCAUUUUACGCAUCAACUUUCUGUUUGGGCCUCUGCCUGAUGAUCUUGGCCACUGCGACACACUAACAAGAGUUAGAUUGGGGCAGAAUUACCUGACAGGAUCAAUUCCAAGUGGGUUUCUUUACUUGCCAGAGUUAUCACUCAUGGAGCUGCACAGCAAUUAUCUGAGUGGACGAGUUCCAGAGCAAACCAGUAAGCUAUCCUCAAAGCUUAAGCAGCUGAAUAUUUCAGACAAUCGUUUAUCUGGGCCACUUCCUGCAUCUAUAGGAAAUUUCUCUAGCCUGCAGAUUCUUCUACUGAGUGGAAACCAAUUCGCAGGGGAAAUUCCACCUGAAAUAGGUCGAUUGAAAAAUGUCCUAACUUUGGAUAUGAGUAGAAACAACUUUUCAGGCAAUAUUCCCCCUGAGAUUGGUAAUUGUCAAAUGCUGACUUCCUUAGAUUUGAGCCAAAACCAACUCUCAGGCCCAAUCCCAAUUCAGAUCACUCAAAUUCACAUAUUAAACUAUCUCAAUAUCUCCUGGAACCACUUGAACCUGAGUCUUCCUAAGGAAAUUGGGUCCAUGAAAAGCCUAACCUCUGCAGAUUUCUCCCAUAAUAACUUCUCUGGUUCCAUGCCCGAAUUUGGACAGUAUUCAUUAUUUAACUCCUCAUCUUUUGCUGGUAAUCCUUACCUGUGUAGCUCAUACUUGAUUCCUUGCAACAAAUCCUCCACCUCUUCAUUACAAUUCCAUGACCAAAACAACUCCAGGAUACAUGUCCCUGGAAAAUUCAAACUUGUUUUUGUUCUAGGACUAUUAGCAUGUUCAUUGGUAUUUGUUGUUUUGGCAAUCAUCAAGGCUCGAAAGAUACGAAGAAACUCGAAAAGUUGGAAGCUCACAGCAUUCCAAAAGCUGGAAUUCGGAUGUGAAGACAUACUAGAAUGUGUCAAGGAAAACAACAUCAUAGGUAGAGGAGGAGCUGGGAUUGUGUAUAAAGGGAUAAUGCCAAAUGGAGAACAAGUAGCAGUGAAGAAAUUGAUGGGAAUAAGCAAAGGGUCAUCUCAUGACAAUGGUCUCUCAGCAGAAAUACAAACUUUAGGCAGAAUUAGACACAGGAACAUUGUGAGAUUGCUGGGAUUUUGUUCCAAUAAAGAGACAAAUCUAUUAGUCUACGAGUAUAUGUCACAUGGAAGCUUAGGUGAAGUUCUUCAUGGGAAGAGAGGAGGGUAUCUCAAGUGGGAUACCAGGUUGAAAAUUGCCAUUGAAGCUGCAAAAGGGCUAUGUUACUUGCACCAUGACUGCUCCCCUCUAAUUAUCCACAGGGAUGUCAAAUCGAAUAACAUUUUGCUAAACUCAGAUUUUGAAGCUCAUGUAGCUGAUUUUGGACUUGCCAAGUUCUUGCAAGAUACCGGAACUUCAGAAUGCAUGUCUGCAAUUGCUGGCUCCUAUGGCUAUAUUGCCCCAGGUAAUUAGUUAACUUCCUUUUUAGACUAAAAUAGAUUCCAAGAUCAAAAUUAAACAAUUUAGUUGACUCGUAACCUGAUGAGACCAUUUUUUGGCCUUUGUAGAUAUAUAUGCUUGACUGUGCUACUAAUCAAAAGCAUUUUUUUUCCCUCAUUUGCCUUUGACGUUAUGUAAUGAUUAAGCCACUCCAAGAAACCAGGUUAAUCAUUUCAUUAAAAAAAAAAAAACGUUAUUGUUCUUCUUCAUUUCUGUGUUUUUUGUGGCAACGUAAAAAAGGGGGUAUAUUUCUUUUCUUUUUAAAAAAAUUAAUUUUAGGCUUUCUAGAAUUACACAUGAAUUUCCACUUGCUAGGAUCAAAGUAGUGUGCAAUGCAAGAGACUAACAGUCAUGUGGAGUCCAAGAAUGGUAAAGUCUCCACUAACGCAAAGGAAAAAAGAAAUUAUUCUUUCUUUUGCUUUUCCUCUCAGCUUUAUCACACAAUACUUACCAUGGGUGUGUGAGCUUCACAACAUUCACACCAAUCACAAGCAACCUUUUUGACCCAAACCAAUGAAAAAAGCAAUAACAAAUUCCGCCAAAAUCCAAGCGUACCACCUUGAGAAUCUUGUUUUGGGAUCUAAUCUUCACUUUCUCUAAGACCUAGGAAGAGGGGAAAAAAAACUAUAUGGGUAUAGAAUACAGACACAAAGCAUAAGUUAGCUUUUCCUUUUUACAUGUACUUGUUGCUCACUUUACCUUGUGUGAUGGGUUGAAAACACAUCUUUUUCUGUGUAUGCAUAGGUUGCUUGAUUUGCCUCAAACUCCUUUAUAUUGUUAUUAUUAUUAUUAGGCUUUGAAUCAAUUUCUUUCUGCAAUAUCUUGUCAGAGUAUGCAUACACCUUGAAAGUGGAUGAGAAGAGCGAUGUGUACAGCUUUGGAGUGGUACUGCUAGAGCUAAUCGCAGGAAGGAGACCUGUGGGUGACUUUGGAGAAGAAGGACUAGACAUUGUUCAAUGGACCAAAUUACAAACCAACUCAAGCAAAGAAAGAGUGGUUAACAUAUUGGAUCAAAGGGUCACUGAUAUUCCACUAAAUGAAGCAAUGCAGGUCUUCUUUGUAGCUAUGCUGUGCGUUCAAGAACACAGUAUAGAGAGGCCAACCAUGAGAGAAGUUGUGCAAAUGCUUGCACAAGCUAAGCAACCCAAUACAUUCCACAUGCAGUAGUAGAAAUGGGCGCUUGAUAAGAUAGGUGAUUCAUUGAUCCAGUGGUGAAAAUUGGGUGACUGAGAAGUGAGAUCACUCUGCUCAAUUGCAGAAGUGGAGCCACAUCUAUCACUGCAAGAUACAUCAUAGUAUGUAAUUAUCAUAUUUAGUGCUUUUCUUUUUCCUUUCUUUUUUGGUUGUUACCCAAUUUUCGUAUUGUGCUAAUGUUGUUUGAAAAGCACAUUUGCUCCAUUAUUGUACUUAUAGUAAGACUAGGAUUAGAUUUCAGGGGAGUGGAGGGUGUUUUGGUCAUUUUGUCAAGCAUGUGGAAUCAAGAAUAGGGAAAGGGAUGUUCUGCAAAAUCCUGAUGAUAAUUUUUGGCUUCAUUAUGGUGUAAUCAUUUUAGAUGGUUUAUGAAUUUCGUGGUAAGAAUGUUC